This 75-nucleotide transfer RNA is filed under the name Treponema sp. RNAcentral describes it as "tRNA-Gly". It matches the Rfam family "tRNA". From Rfam's summary of the family: Transfer RNA (tRNA) molecules are approximately 80 nucleotides in length. Their secondary structure includes four short double-helical elements and three loops (D, anti-codon, and T loops). Further hydrogen bonds mediate the characteristic L-shaped molecular structure. tRNAs have two regions of fundamental functional importance: the anti-codon, which is responsible for specific mRNA codon recognition, and the 3' end, to which the tRNAs corresponding amino acid is attached (by aminoacyl-tRNA synthetases). tRNAs cope with the degeneracy of the genetic code in two manners: having more than one tRNA (with a specific anti-codon) for a particular amino acid; and 'wobble' base-pairing, i.e. permitting non-standard base-pairing at the 3rd anti-codon position. Lineage: Bacteria; Pseudomonadati; Spirochaetota; Spirochaetia; Treponematales; Treponemataceae. The record is from RNAcentral.
GCAGGUUUAGCGUAGUUGGUUUAUCGCGUCGGUCCUCCAAACCGAAGAUCACGGGUUCAAAUCCCGUAACCUGCU